GAAGGCGGACUAAGGUUUGGACUCAGACGUCAAGUGGAUGGACUCCUGUGUAUUCCUUGGAUUACAAAUCUCUACCGCUAUGCAUAAAAUGGUCUCCAGUUAUAAGUGGAGUCCUUGAAGGGAAUGUACACAUAUGUUAGUUGUGGGGCAUGAGGAUGGUCUAGUCACGGUGUGGGUAGUGCCCCAGAGUCCAUCUGCGUCUGGGGAUUCGGAAUAUAGGGGCAGCUCACAGCAUGGGGAAGGUGCUGAGUCAUGUGACCCAAGGUGCCAGCUGCAGCUACGAGGCCACCAGAGUCCAGUCACUUCCUUGGCCAUCUCAACUUCGGGUCUUAUGCUGGCCACAGGU
Molecule: non-coding RNA, 346 nt
Organism: Penaeus vannamei (Pacific white shrimp)
Lineage: Eukaryota; Metazoa; Arthropoda; Malacostraca; Decapoda; Penaeidae
Source: RefSeq, a predicted model, not a curated record